CCCACGCCGAGGCCCCCUCUCCCACUCGCUGAGCGAGCCCGGCGUUAAUUAACUCUCCCCUCGCCCCCCGCAAUAUCGGAAGACUUUCAAAACUCAUCCCCAAGUGUUUCCUCUUUAAGCCUGAAGCCUGCGCUUGGAAACAACCGCCAGGAAAAGAGGGAGCUGGGUCUGGAAGGAGGGUCGGUCACCUCAAGGCUCCGGGGUAACAGGGCUCCCCCAAGGACUGCGGGUUGUAGGCGGGGAGGCUGUAACCCCACACCUCCUCCCCCAGUGAAAAAAGGCAAGACGGGUCAAUCAAGAUCAGAAAUAACCCUAAAGUCGGAUUAUUGAUUUCCAUGUAAAUCCGGAGCAGAGGACGCGGCGAAUUAGGCAGUGGAGUCCGCUCCGUCAAUGAAGGGACUAAGGUUUCGUGGACAAUAAUGUGGCAAUUGUUGAUGGUUUGUGACCCAUAAAAUGUGGAGGUGACUGUUCUGGCUUUGGGCCCCCAUCCUGCCUGGAUCCCCCCCCCCCGCCCCCCCCAGAACUGCUCUGCCACCAGCUCGGAGGCCUCACCGCCCACCACACAGCGACACUGCAGUGUGAGCCCCGCAGAGGCAGGCGACAGGGGAUUUUUCAAGGGGGAAAUGAUGAUUAAAAGACAGAAUCAUCUAAAUAUCAAAGUGACACAUGGGAGACCUGGAAAAAAUAUUUAAGCUAAUGAAAAGCAAAUA
This is a long non-coding RNA of Lynx canadensis (Canada lynx), 710 nucleotides long. RefSeq lists it as uncharacterized. The transcript is spliced from 3 exons. The record is from RefSeq and is a predicted model, not a curated record. NCBI's taxonomy places the organism in Eukaryota, Metazoa, Chordata, Mammalia, Carnivora, Felidae.